UGGGGAAUAUUGGACAAUGGGCGAAAGCCUGAUCCAGCCAUGCCGCGUGUGUGAAGAAGGUCUUCGGAUUGUAAAGCACUUUAAGUUGGGAGGAAGGGCAGUAAGUUAAUACCUUGCUGUUUUGACGUUACCGACAGAAUAAGCACCGGCUAACUCUGUGCCAG
RNAcentral lists this ribosomal RNA (164 nucleotides) under uncultured bacterium. Its description in RNAcentral is "partial 16S ribosomal RNA". It matches the Rfam family "Bacterial small subunit ribosomal RNA", at positions 355 to 511 of the family's 1533-position model. The record is from RNAcentral.